This 74-nucleotide transfer RNA is filed under the name Yellowstone lake phycodnavirus 1. It matches the Rfam family "tRNA". Rfam says of the family: Transfer RNA (tRNA) molecules are approximately 80 nucleotides in length. The record is from Rfam by way of RNAcentral. Lineage: Varidnaviria; Bamfordvirae; Nucleocytoviricota; Megaviricetes; Algavirales; Phycodnaviridae.
UCCUCUAUAACUCAGCUGGUUAGAGUGUCAGGCUGUUAACCUGAAAGUCGCAGGUUCGAUCCCUGCUGGAGGAG